ACAUGGCAUCAGCAGUUGUUAAUACAUAACAUUUGCUGCAGAGUUAGGUACUAUUAUUACUAUUGCACAGAGCUUCUCUAAUUGGUUUGGACAUGAAUUAGAUUUUUUUGUGUGACAACUUUGAUUGCAAUAAAUAAAUUGCAAGUUUUAUUUGAAUUUUGUCUUAAUUUCAUGGCAGUUGUGUCUAAAGUCUGUAAGACGACACUGGCAUUACAUGAAAACUGGGCAAAUAAGUUGAACAUACCCUUUAAAUAAUACUGCCAAUUUACAUUGUGGCAAAAGUAAUGUAGCUGGUUGUCACGUGGGUUGCUAAUGCCACAUUAGAGGGCACAGUGAAAUGUUGUUGAUAUCACACAUUUGUCUUUACAAGCUGUCCAUUUCGCAGUGAUAACAAAACUUUGAGGUGAUGAAGUACUUUAAAUGACACAUUUAUUAAAUAACCAAAACUGGGCCCACAUAGAUCGUACUACUAGCAGGGCUGGGGUGUACAUUUAUCAUAACUGGGUAUCCUUUGGCUCUGAGUGAGGUACAGGAUUACUGGAUCAAGACUAGAUUAAAAAGAGGUUUUAAGUUGUAUUCAUUUCUAAGCUUUUUGAUAGUCUAUCUGGAAGAUUUUAAAAAUGUUUUACAUUAUGUAACCACUUUUUUUUUUUUUUUUUCUUACUGUAACCCUGUUUUUAAGUAUAGGAAGAACCAGCCUCAUACAUUUGUUAGAGCAUCAUUAAUGAAGUCCUUGACUGCACAUCUCUGUCUUCUGGAGAAAAUUACAGUAGAUGUGCAGGAAUACCACAGCAGUGUGGUUAUGUCAUGAUCCUGGGUCCUUUUGACCCAGCGUUUUGUGUUUUCUAUUAUGGUACUAUGGUUUCUGUUCCUCCUCGGUUUGUGUUCAUGCUUUUCUGCCGUGCAUUCCUGUGGUUAGUCCGUGUCUUUACAUGUAUGUGUUCCUGUUUUAUUUUGAAGGUCUUUGUCUUAUGUCAGAGUGUCCUGUUUACGUUCCCCCACCUCGUCAGCUGUUAUGUCUCCCAGGUGUGUUCCCUCCUGUUUCCCAUCCCCCUGAUUACUAGUGUGUAUUUAUUGUGUGUGUUCACUCGUCCUCGUUGCUGGUUCAUCUGUGUUGUUUCCCUGCGUCUCUCCAUUUGUAUUUCCCCGGACCUUCCUGCACCUUCGUUUGUGGUUUGUUUUGUUAGUUUUACCCAGUUUAGGUUUUCCGGUUUCAUGUUCACCUGCCAUUCCUGUUUGUACCCACUCCUGUAAAUAAAUACUCACCUGCACCAGAGCUGCCGCCUUUUGGGUCCUCUCUACAAACUCCACACGCCUGCCACACCUGGCGUGACAGGUUAAGCCGUGCAAUGCUUUUCACAAUUAUACAGUCAAAGUAUUUGUUUGUUUUUUGCUUGUCUGUUUGUAUUUUUUGCUGAGUGCAUUGAAAAGUAAUUGUUUCCAAUGUCUGAUGGCUUUUUCCGCUGUGACCUUCUGGCUUCUCAACGAUAUACGUCAACCAUUCCUGAAAAAAAGUCAUUUUCCAUCAUUUAUUCUCUGCUAAUAUUUGAAAAAAUACUGUAAAAUCAGAGAAGCCUAUAGAUUUCUCUGGCUAUAAGAAAGUUAGGUUACUCUAAGGAUUAUGUUGAAAAAGGUGCUGGUGAUGCAGUCAAAAACAUGCCAUUACACUUAUACCAAUUGCCACUAGAUGGCAGAAUGAACCAGAAAUUGUUUUUGGAGAGGAUCAAAGUGCACUUUAACGUUUUUGCCUUUGAGUCAAUUUUCACAAACUUUGAGGGUUUUCUGUCUUAAUCUUCGUUUUUGUUUUAUUAGAGCUAUCCGAGCUUAUGAUAAUCCAUUUACCUGGACAUGAAGCUGUGAUGUUAAAUGUUCUGAGCUUCAGUAG
Molecule: long non-coding RNA, 1885 nt
Organism: Oreochromis niloticus (Nile tilapia)
Lineage: Eukaryota; Metazoa; Chordata; Actinopteri; Cichliformes; Cichlidae
Exons: 2
Source: RefSeq, a predicted model, not a curated record